GACGAACCACACAAACGUUAAUCGGAAUUACUGGGCGUAAAGGGUGCGCAGGCGGUUAUAUAAGACAGAUGUGAAAUCCCCGGGCUCAACCUGGGAACUGCGUUUGUGACUGUAUGACUAGAGUACGGUAGAGAGGGGUGGAAUUCCUGGUGUAGCAGUGAAAUGCGUAGAUAUCAGGAGGAACAUCGAUGGCGAAGGCAGCCCCUUGGACCUGUACUGACGCUCAUGCACGAAAGCGUGGGGAGCAAACAGG
RNAcentral lists this ribosomal RNA (253 nucleotides) under uncultured bacterium. RNAcentral describes it as "partial 16S ribosomal RNA". It matches the Rfam family "Bacterial small subunit ribosomal RNA", at positions 524 to 776 of the family's 1533-position model. The record is from RNAcentral.